This 781-nucleotide ribosomal RNA is filed under the name Chryseobacterium sp. RNAcentral describes it as "bacterial SSU rRNA". It matches the Rfam family "Bacterial small subunit ribosomal RNA", at positions 43 to 824 of the family's 1533-position model. Lineage: Bacteria; Pseudomonadati; Bacteroidota; Flavobacteriia; Flavobacteriales; Weeksellaceae. The record is from RNAcentral.
GAGGCCUAACACAUGCAAGCCGAGCGGUAGAAGAUCUUCGGAUCUUUGAGAGCGGCGUACGGGUGCGGAACACGUGUGCAACCUGCCUUUAUCUGGGGGAUAGCCUUUCGAAAGGAAGAUUAAUACCCCAUAACAUAUUGAGUGGCAUCACUUAAUAUUGAAAACUCCGGUGGAUAGAGAUGGGCACGCGCAAGAUUAGAUAGUUGGUGAGGUAACGGCUCACCAAGUCAGUGAUCUUUAGGGGGCCUGAGAGGGUGAUCCCCCACACUGGUACUGAGACACGGACCAGACUCCUACGGGAGGCAGCAGUGAGGAAUAUUGGACAAUGGGUGAGAGCCUGAUCCAGCCAUCCCGCGUGAAGGACGACGGCCCUAUGGGUUGUAAACUUCUUUUGUAUAGGGAUAAACCUUUCCACGUGUGGAAAGCUGAAGGUACUAUACGAAUAAGCACCGGCUAACUCCGUGCCAGCAGCCGCGGUAAUACGGAGGGUGCAAGCGUUAUCCGGAUUUAUUGGGUUUAAAGGGUCCGUAGGCGGGCUCGUAAGUCAGUGGUGAAAUCUCAUAGCUUAACUAUGAAACUGCCAUUGAUACUGCGAGCCUUGAGUAAGGUAGAGGUAGCUGGAAUAAGUAGUGUAGCGGUGAAAUGCAUAGAUAUUACUUAGAACACCAAUUGCGAAGGCAGGUUACCAUGUCUUAACUGACGCUGAUGGACGAAAGCGUGGGGAGCGAACAGGAUUAGAUACCCUGGUAGUCCACGCCGUAAACGAUGCUAACUCGUUUUU